AAACCAACAGGGAUGCCUUAGUAACGGCGAGUGAAGCGGCAACAGCUCAAAUUUGAAAUCUGGCUCUUUUAGAGUCCGAGUUGUAAUUUGCAGAGGGCGCUUUGGCGUUGGCAGCGGUCCAAGUUCCUUGGAACAGGACGUCACAGAGGGUGAGAAUCCCGUACGUGGUCGCUAGCCAUCGCCGUGUAAAGCCCCUUCGACGAGUCGAGUUGUUUGGGAAUGCAGCUCUAAAUGGGAGGUAAAUUUCUUCUAAAGCUAAAUACUGGCCAGAGACCGAUAGCGCACAAGUAGAGUGAUCGAAAGAUGAAAAGCACUUUGGAAAGAGAGUCAAAUAGCACGUGAAAUUGUUGAAAGGGAAGCGCUUGCAGCCAGACUUGCCUGUAGUUGCUCAUCCGGGCUUUUGCCCGGUGCACUCUUCUGCGGGCAGGCCAGCAUCAGUUUGGGCGGUUGGAUAAAGGUCUCUGUCAUGUACCUCUCUUCGGGGAGAACUUAUAGGGGAGACGACAUACAACCAGCCUGGACUGAGGUCCGCGCAUUUGCUAGGAUGCUGGCGUAAUGGCUGUAAGCGGCCCGUCUUGAAACACGGACCAAAGAGUCUAACAUCUAUGCGAGUGUUUGGGUGUCAAGCCCGAGCGCGUAAUGAAAGUGAACGGAGGUGGGACCCCUUUUAGGGUGCACCAUCGACCGAUCCUGAUGUCUUCGGAUGGAUUUGAGUAAGAGCAUGGCUGUUGGGACCCGAAAGAUGGUGAACUAUGCUUGAAUAGGGUGAAGCCAGAGGAAACUCUGGUGGAGGCUCCGCAGCGGUUCUGACGUGCAAAU
RNAcentral lists this ribosomal RNA (819 nucleotides) under Neocamarosporium betae. RNAcentral's name for it is "partial 28S ribosomal RNA". It matches the Rfam family "Eukaryotic large subunit ribosomal RNA", at positions 62 to 898 of the family's 3401-position model. Lineage: Eukaryota; Fungi; Ascomycota; Dothideomycetes; Neocamarosporiaceae. The record is from RNAcentral.